Molecule: long non-coding RNA, 258 nt
Filed under: Helianthus annuus (common sunflower)
Lineage: Eukaryota; Viridiplantae; Streptophyta; Magnoliopsida; Asterales; Asteraceae
Description: sRNA HanXRQr2_Chr06g0246641
Source: RNAcentral
UUGUCCAUUAUCCCAUGCUCGCUUAUUUGGCGAUAGUGGAAAAUGAGUCUAUUGGGAGAGAACGCUACAAUUUCAUGCAGGUUCUGCUACAGGAAAACGGGCAAGUUUUGGAAAUGUGAGAUCUGAAAGGCAUUCUAGAUGGGUCCCACACUUGCCGAAACAAAAAAUACGGGUGAAUUGAGGACAGCGAAUAACGGAACAAGCAGCACUAAGCCUUUGGUUAGCGAUGGCAAGCGCAAGCCGAUAAGAAGAAAUUCU